ACACUCCUACGGGAGGCAGCAGUGGGGAAUAUUGCACAAUGGGCGCAAGCCUGAUGCAGCCAUGCCGCGUGUAUGAAGAAGGCCUUCGGGUUGUAAAGUACUUUCAGCGGGGAGGAAGGCAAUACGGUUAAUAACCGUGUUGAUUGACGUUACCCGCAGAAGAAGCACCGGCUAACUCCGUGCCAGCAGCCGCGGUAAUACGGAGGGUGCAAGCGUUAAUCGGAAUUACUGGGCGUAAAGCGCACGCAGGCGGUCUGUCAAGUCGGAUGUGAAAUCCCCGGGCUCAACCUGGGAACUGCAUUCGAAACUGGCAGGCUUGAGUCUUGUAGAGGGGGGUAGAAUUCCAGGUGUAGCGGUGAAAUGCGUAGAGAUCUGGAGGAAUACCGGUGGCGAAGGCGGCCCCCUGGACAAAGACUGACGCUCAGGUGCGAAAGCGUGGGGAGCAAACAGGAUUAGAUACCCUAGUAGUCCCAU
Molecule: ribosomal RNA, 474 nt
Filed under: uncultured organism
Description: partial 16S ribosomal RNA
Rfam family: Bacterial small subunit ribosomal RNA
Source: RNAcentral